UCUCGAUUCCAAUUCAAUAUAUAGGUUAGAAAUAUGAUAAAUAAAAUAUGCAAAGAAGUCACUGCCAUAGCCAUUUGGCUGUUGCAAUCAGUCUCCCAGCAGAAAUUGAGAAAAGGAAAAAAAACAAAGAUGGAAAAACAAAAACGUAGGGCUAUAAUCAAACAAAUGCCUUGAGACAUCCAAGACAAUCUUUGACAUACACAGGAUUCAAAUUCUAAACCAUCAACAAAAUCAUCACUGGGUAUAAAAAAAAGGACACGGUAAACACAGCAGAGCAUUGGCCGCAACAAUGUUGUCUUACAAGGAUGAUUGACUGCAAUGAUCAUCUCCAUGACAGCAACUAAAAAACAAGCUAAACAGAUAAUUUGAAAAGUAUCCAAGUUCACAAGACUACCACAUAAGCCAGCAUGAAAAUUCUAGGCAAAAUAAUCCUAAAUCAUUGCUAUAUUUGGAAGAGCCACCAAAACUCACAUUCAAAAGCCCCCCAUCAAAUAGAAGCUCCAGCUCCAGCAGCAGCAGAAUUCAACCUCCUGCCAAUUUCAGAAGACACAAAGGCAUCAAGACAAGCAUACUGAACCUGAUCAGGAGUAAGCCACGGAUUGUCCCACCUACUCAUUGUGACCCUCUUGGGCUUCUUAAUUUCCUUCCCCAAUACUUCCUUCACCAAAUCCUUCAACCCAGCAUUCUUCAACUCCUUCACUCCUAGCUUCUCCGCUGCCAAGCCCCUCAAAUCCACAGUAUUUCUCACGCUUAACCCAUAAUCCUCCACCAGCUUUUCAACAUCACUCUCAAUGCCAACCCCCACAAACACAAAAUUCCCAUUGAGAAGGAAUUCCACAAGAGAUUGUGGGACAGUAGGCGAAUGUAAGAGCUGAUAGAUGAGACAUCUGCGGCCAAUGCAGAGUUGUAGAGUAGCUAUUGGGUUCUCGAUACGGCGGUUGAAAUUAGGGCGCCACUCGACGUCCAGGCCAACGAUAGCAGGGUUUUGGUGAAUUUGUUGUUGGGUUUCGAUGAGCCAUUGGUCGACGAGGGAGGGAGCGUGGGUAACUAGAGUGUGGAUCUGAUCGGUGAAGAAGGUGACGUCGUAGAGAUUGUGAGUGUCGUUUGUGAGUUGGUGGUCUUUGAUGCUGAUUGUCAUCGCGCUGCGAACUGUGAGACAACCCAACAGGGGGUUUUUUCUGAGGGC
RNAcentral lists this unclassified non-coding RNA (1186 nucleotides) under Hevea brasiliensis (rubber tree). Lineage: Eukaryota; Viridiplantae; Streptophyta; Magnoliopsida; Malpighiales; Euphorbiaceae. The record is from RNAcentral.